RNAcentral lists this ribosomal RNA (254 nucleotides) under uncultured bacterium. RNAcentral describes it as "partial 16S ribosomal RNA". It matches the Rfam family "Bacterial small subunit ribosomal RNA", at positions 524 to 777 of the family's 1533-position model. The record is from RNAcentral.
UACGUAGGGUGCAAGCGUUGUCCGGAAUUAUUGGGCGUAAAGAGCUCGUAGGCGGUUUGUCGCGUCGGCUGUGAAAACCUGGGGCUCAACCCCGGGCCUGCAGCCGAUACGGGCAAACUAGAAUUCGGUAGGGGAGACUGGAAUUCCUGGUGUAGCGGUGAAAUGCGCAGAUAUCAGGAGGAACACCGGUGGCGAAGGCGGGUCUCUGGGCCGAUACUGACGCUGAGGAGCGAAAGCGUGGGGAGCGAAGCAGG